GAUGAACGCUGGCGGCGUGCCUAAUACAUGCAAGUCGAGCGAACGGACGAGAAGCUUUCUUCCCUGAUGUUAGCGGCGGACGGGUGAGUAACACGUGGAUAACCUACCUAUAUGACUGGGAUAACUUCGGGAAACCGGAGCCAAUACCGGAUGAUAUUUUGAACCGCAUGGUUCAAAAGUGAUAGACGGUCUUGCUGUCACUUAUAGAUGGAUCCGCGCUGCAUUAGCUAGUUGGUAAGGUAACGGCUUACCAAGGCAACGAUGCAUAGCCGACCUGAGAGGAUGAUCAGCCACACUGGAACUGAGACACGGUCCAAACUCCUACGGGAGGCAGCAGUAGGGAAUCUUGGGCAAUGGGCGCAAGCCUGACGGAGCAACGCCGCGUGAGUGAUGAAGGUCUUCGGAUCGUAAAACUCUGUUAUUAGGAAAGAACAUAAGUAUGAUUAACUGUGCACGUCUUGACGGUACCUAAUCAGAAAGCCACGGCUAACUACGUG
This 497-nucleotide ribosomal RNA is filed under the name uncultured bacterium. RNAcentral's name for it is "partial 16S ribosomal RNA". It matches the Rfam family "Bacterial small subunit ribosomal RNA", at positions 28 to 507 of the family's 1533-position model. The record is from RNAcentral.